This 497-nucleotide ribosomal RNA is filed under the name uncultured bacterium. RNAcentral's name for it is "partial 16S ribosomal RNA". It matches the Rfam family "Bacterial small subunit ribosomal RNA", at positions 28 to 507 of the family's 1533-position model. The record is from RNAcentral.
GAUGAACGCUGGCGGCGUGCCUAAUACAUGCAAGUCGUGCGAACAGAUGAGGAGCUUGCUCCUCUGACGUUAGCGGCGGACGGGAGAGUAACACGUGGAUCACCUACCUAUAAGACUGGGAUAACUUCGGGAAACCGGAGCUAAUACCGGAUAAUAUCUUGAACCGCGUGGUUCAAUAGUGAAAGACGGUUUUGAUGUCCCUUAUAGAUGGAUCCGCGCCGCAUUAGCUAGUUGGUAAGGUAACGGCUUACCAUGGCAACGAUGCGUAGGCGACCCGAGAGGGUGAUGCGCCACACUGGAACUGAGACACGAUCCAGACUCCGACGGGAGGCAGCAGGAGGGAAGCGUCCGCAAUGGGCGAAAGCCUGACGGAGCAGCGCCGCGUGAGUGAAGAAGGGCUGCGUAUCGUAAAACUCUGUUAUUAGUGAAGAACAAUUUUGGAAGGAACUAUGCACUUCUUGACGGUACCUAAUCAGAAAGCCACGGCUAACUACGUG